UAUGUAUUAUUUUGUAGGAUAAUCCCAAAGAAUCUAGGGGAUAUAACUUCUAUCAUGCUAAAGAAUAAAAGUCGUUCGGCAUUCUUUUCAGAAAAAGAGUAUCUUAGUGAAGGAACUGGUACCUUUAAUAUAGAACUUAUAAAGUUCAACAGAUAGAAGAACCAACACAAUCUAGUAAACCUAUAGAAUUGGAUUUGAUUAGAUCAAACUUGAAACCCGUUGUAGAGGCACCAUUAAGA
Molecule: long non-coding RNA, 239 nt
Filed under: Elaeis guineensis (African oil palm)
Lineage: Eukaryota; Viridiplantae; Streptophyta; Magnoliopsida; Arecales; Arecaceae
Description: long non-coding RNA (EGUI_LNC079927)
Source: RNAcentral